Molecule: ribosomal RNA, 253 nt
Filed under: uncultured bacterium
Lineage: Bacteria
Description: partial 16S ribosomal RNA
Rfam family: Bacterial small subunit ribosomal RNA
Source: RNAcentral
UACGAGGGGGGCAAGCGUUGUUCGGAAUUAUUGGGCGUAAAGGGCGCGUAGGCGGUGCGGUAAGUCUGAUGUGAAAUCUCCGGGCUCACUCGGAGUCUGCAUCAGAAACUGCCGUGCUUGAGUGUGGGAGAGGUGAGUGGAAUUCCCGGUGUAGCGGUGAAAUGCGUAGAUAUGUGGAGGAACACCGAUGGCGAAGGCAGGCCCCCUGGGUCAAGACUGACGCUCAUGCACGAAAGCGUGGGGAGCAAACAGG